Molecule: transfer RNA, 77 nt
Filed under: Photobacterium damselae subsp. piscicida
Lineage: Bacteria; Pseudomonadati; Pseudomonadota; Gammaproteobacteria; Vibrionales; Vibrionaceae
Description: tRNA-Ile
Rfam family: tRNA
About the family: Transfer RNA (tRNA) molecules are approximately 80 nucleotides in length. Their secondary structure includes four short double-helical elements and three loops (D, anti-codon, and T loops).
Source: RNAcentral
GGGUCUGUAGCUCAGGUGGUUAGAGCGCACCCCUGAUAAGGGUGAGGUGGGUGGUUCGAGUCCACUCAGACCCACCA